This 800-nucleotide ribosomal RNA is filed under the name Rummeliibacillus pycnus. Its description in RNAcentral is "bacterial SSU rRNA". It matches the Rfam family "Bacterial small subunit ribosomal RNA", at positions 31 to 817 of the family's 1533-position model. Lineage: Bacteria; Bacillati; Bacillota; Bacilli; Caryophanales; Caryophanaceae. The record is from RNAcentral.
GAAAAUUGCGGCGUGCUAAUACAUGCAGUCGAGCGAAUGACGAGGAGCUUGCUCCUCUGAUUUAGCGGCGGACGGGUGAGUAACACGUGGGCAACCUGCCCUGUAGACUGGGAUAACUUCGGGAAACCGGAGCUAAUACCGGAUAAUCCAUUUCACCUCAUGGUGAAAUGUUGAAAGGCGCUUUCGGGCGUCACUACAGGAUGGGCCCGCGGUGCAUUAGCUAGUUGGUGGGGUAACGGCCUACCAAGGCGACGAUGCAUAGCCGACCUGAGAGGGUGAUCGGCCACAUUGGGACUGAGACACGGCCCAAACUCCUACGGGAGGCAGCAGUAGGGAAUCUUCCACAAUGGACGAAAGUCUGAUGGAGCAACGCCGCGUGAGUGAUGAAGGUUUUCGGAUCGUAAAACUCUGUUGUAAGGGAAGAACAAGUACGUUAGGAAAUGAACGUACCUUGACGGUACCUUAUUAGAAAGCCACGGCUAACUACGUGCCAGCAGCCGCGGUAAUACGUAGGUGGCAAGCGUUGUCCGGAUUUAUUGGGCGUAAAGCGCGCGCAGGCGGUUUCUUAAGUCUGAUGUGAAAGCCCACGGCUUAACCGUGGAGGGUCAUUGGAAACUGGGAGACUUGAGUGCAGAAGAGGAAAGUGGAAUUCCAAGUGUAGCGGUGAAAUGCGUAGAGAUUUGGAGGAACACCAGUGGCGAAGGCGACUUUCUGGUCUGCAACUGACGCUGAGGCGCGAAAGCAUGGGGAGCAAACAGGAUUAGAUACCCUGGUAGUCCAUGCCGUAAACGAUGAGUGCU